Molecule: ribosomal RNA, 253 nt
Filed under: uncultured bacterium
Lineage: Bacteria
Description: partial 16S ribosomal RNA
Rfam family: Bacterial small subunit ribosomal RNA
Source: RNAcentral
UACGUAGGGGGCAAGCGUUGUCCGGAUUUAUUGGGCGUAAAGAGCGUGUAGGCGGCUAGGUAGGUCCGUUGUGAAAACUCGAGGCUCAACCUCGAGACGUCGAUGGAAACCAUCUAGCUAGAGUCCGGAAGAGGAGAGUGGAAUUCCUGGUGUAGCGGUGAAAUGCGCAGAUAUCAGGAAGGACACCCGUGGCGAAGGCGGCUCUCUGGUACGUGACUGACGCUGAGACGCGAAAGCGUGGGGAGCGAACAGG